RNAcentral lists this ribosomal RNA (2130 nucleotides) under Triticum aestivum (bread wheat). RNAcentral describes it as "partial small subunit ribosomal RNA". Lineage: Eukaryota; Viridiplantae; Streptophyta; Magnoliopsida; Poales; Poaceae. The record is from RNAcentral.
UACUUGAGCGAGUAACGAGAUCUUCCACGAACCCGAACAAAGAGACUGGCUAAUCGACGCUGUAGAGUGUACCUAGAAGUGACGGAGUAUCUGGAUAAAAAAUAAGAGAGCAGUUAAGAUGUACAGACGAGCAGGUAACGUACGGUCCAUUUAGUAUACGUAUUGGUACCUUACCGUGUAUGACCGGGGUCCGACAUGUUUAAGUAGCGUUCCGGCCAAUUCGACAUAUUGUUUUUAUAAGCGUUAGACGUUUUAUAGUAGCUUCUGUUCUUUUGUGGACUGGUAAUGAUGCAUACGGUGUACUGUCUUUGUAAAAGAUGACUGCCGUUUUCUUACAUAACAUCGUGUGUGAAAAGAUUCUCUUCAGAGAAGGGCGUGUACCUACGACUAGUACUACUCGAUGGUUAGUCAUGUCCUCUGCCCUGGUGGUCACAGUACCGGGAGAAAUAGUUCCCGCAGCUGUUGUUCCGAUGUGAGUGUUUCUUGACCUCGUCGAAGAAGGUAUUCCGUUUGUACUUCUUUCCUACACGUAUACGAAAGUGGAAGUUCAGCUGUAGACACCUACCCAAAAGCGACCGGAUGAGCUGGCACGCAAUGGGACGACGAAACCACCGAGGCCAAUCGUGAACCCGGUCACCACGUCACCGAACCCAAUAUUCACCGAGCCCACUCCCGGCGGAGGAGAGGAGGAGCUAAGAAGACGACGGCGUCGGUGGGGGGAGAGGAGAGGGGGUUAAGAGGGUGGUGGCGGCGGCGGAGAGCAGAGUAGGUACAUCGGUCCCGGAUCUGCAGUAGCCGAGUCAGGCGCCGCCAUACCUACUCCUCCGCUCUCGAAGUCUCCGUCCCCGCUCCUUCGUCUCUCAGGAAGGGCUCCCGCGGGGUUGGACGGUCUAGAAGGUUGAGUAACCGGGUCCGUUCCAUUUUUACAACCUAGGCCGCCACCGACCUUAGGGAAUAGCGGCUUCCUACCGCACGUACUGCAUACUGGUCUUUUAGUUAUCCGUCUACCUCGUCCUGCCCCACUGCUAAGGGCAAACCGCCGCAAGCGCACAAAACCGAUCGCCGGACGUGAAGGAAGAAGGGGACGGACCCCGCGGCGGUACCGGUCAUCCUCUUCGUGCCCACUGGCGUCGACUCGAAGGUACAUUCUAUCGGGGCUCGGGGGCUGUGUAGGAGACGGUGUGGUUGGAACGUCGUAGACCGGAAACGUCCUACGUCUUUUACUACCUCACGUACUACGAAGUCGUCUAAGACGUAAUAACAGUUUGCGAAAAGGACUCGAUACUGAACUGACCGAGGUCAGACCAAGUGGCGACGUAAAACAAACAACUACGGAACUGAAAAUCCGACAGUGUCGAUAAGAAGAAAGUAGAUAUAGGACUUCCUCUGGGCUACCGUACCGACAUGUUCACCGUGGGGGCCAGUCCACCUGCAACCUACGAAAGAAGUCACAAAGAGAAAAGGGCGUCCGAACUAAAGGAACACCAGCAUUGGGUUGAGGGUUUUCAAAGUGUUUUUGUAUUUGUACGAACCUACACACAGGAACGACCGCUGGAGCGACAGAGGUUGGGGAGGCAGACCUGUCAUGUUCUGAAGUGGUUUGAUAGUUAACUUCACGUCCAAGUUCCUAGACACCAUCCACAUAAAUCAAAAGGAUACUACUACCGUGUAAUACUUAUGAUAUGUGAGAGAAGUAAAGACAAAAGGGGAGGAUUCGGUAAAUAAGACAGAUGGUGUCUAUUGUUGUUGAUAGUGCAACCACUAAAGGGACUAUAGAGCAAGAUGUUCACACAGUAUACCUGGUUACUUUCUUUUAUAUAAAACCUCUAUUAUUGAUAUACCCGAUGAGGUUUACCUCCAGGAUUACACUACUUGCUGCACUACUCCCUCUAUCAGCUACAGGCACUACACCGACUACGAAACGCAUACCAUAUGUUCUUUGGCCUUAGUAGACCUUCUAUAUAGUCGCGUAGUUUGAUGUAAUGGUGUUUUCGGUACGACCUUAACAAUUCCUUCCGCGCGGGAUUGAUGUUAAUGCACUUCACCACCCAGAGAAUGGUACGCAAGGAACAUACGUCGUUUACCACGUAAGACAAAGGACUUGCCAGCACGAAACAAAGGUACCAAACU